GAUGAACGCUGGCGGCGUGCCUAAUACAUGCAAGUCGAGCGAACAGACGAGGAGCUUGCUCCUCUGACGUUAGCGGCGGACGGGUGAGUAACACGUGGAUAACCUACCUAUAAGACUGGGAUAACUUCGGGAAACCGGAGCUAAUACCGGAUAAUAUAUUGAACCGCAUGGUUUAAUAGUGAAAGACGGUUUUGCUGUCACUUAUAGAUGGAUCCGCGCCGCAUUAGCUAGUUGGUAAGGUAACGGCUUACCAAGGCAACGAUGCGUAGCCGACCUGAGAGGGUGAUCGGCCACACUGGAACUGAGACACGGUCCAGACUCCUACGGGAGGCAGCAGUAGGGAAUCUUCCGCAAUGGGCGAAAGCUUGACGGAGCAACGCCGCGUGAGUGAUGAAGGUCUUCGGAUCGUAAAACUCUGUUAUUAGGGAAGAACAAAUGUGUAAGUAACUAUGCACGUCUUGACGGUACCUAAUCAGAAAGCCACGGCUAACUACGUG
This 497-nucleotide ribosomal RNA is filed under the name uncultured bacterium. Its description in RNAcentral is "partial 16S ribosomal RNA". It matches the Rfam family "Bacterial small subunit ribosomal RNA", at positions 28 to 507 of the family's 1533-position model. The record is from RNAcentral.